CUCACCUCCAUGUCCUGAAUCAUGAGACCAGAGCUGUGACACUGACUGCCCCCUGCUCCCCAGCCUUCAGUCCCACCCAUGCCCCAUGCCCACCGCACACACACAAGGGGCCUGGGGAAACGUCAGCCAGGAUGGGUCACACUCGUGGCCUGGCCCUGGAAUGGCCCGCUCUGGGCUGCCCUGUGUUACCUCGGGGCUCCUCGGGAUACACGGAUAGAGGCGUUGGAGGAGGUCACUGAGCCAACGCCCACAGCGAGCAGGAAGACUCUCCCUCUCGGCUUCCCUGACUCCCUCGCUUUCAGAAGGCUCCGCACAACAAGACCGCAUGUUGCUCUGUCGAGCGCCUCCGGUCAAGUGAGCUGGACUGGGUUCUGCGACCAGGAGCUGGGUUCCAUCCGUCCGGGUCACAAUUGAGGUUCUACUUGGCGUGUCAUCAGUGACAUCACUUCUUCAAGGGCCCCUCCCUGCAUUCAGACACGCCCACGUGCCCCUCUGGGCUGCUGACUGCCCACCCUCCUGGCCCUUGCCAUGCAUGAGUACACACAUCUCCACCAGAGCCCUCCCCACGCUCUCUGGCAAUGUCACCGGGGUCCCAGCUCUGAGGAGACAAGAGCUGAGCUCAGUCCGCUUUUUCUCACUAGUUCCCUGUCCUGCUGAGGCCACAGCACCUCCCAGGACCUGCCCAACAUCCCAACCUGCACAGGGAGGGUCACGCCAGACAUUUCUCCCUAAGGACAUCCCCAGGGAUACAUGGAUGACACCUCCAGCUCCUGGGGACUGGCGUCACAUGUGUCUGACACACAGACUCAGAGAUGGAAGAAUGCCAACCAGGCUUGGCAUGGAGCAUGGAACACCACGCAGGAAGAGAACAAAGAGCAUUUUCCUGACCAAUACUUACACACUGGGUGCUUGGGGACCAAGUGAUGAAGCCCCAUGUGCAGCAGGAACUGCAGUUUGAGACACUCUGAUUACACUGACAAUCAUUCACUGUCAUCUCCAAGAUUCGUCUGUUUUCUAAGUAGGCUAAAUGAGUGACUUCAAUAAGGGUAUGUGGAAAUCACCACCCGUUCUUCUUUCAAAUCCUUGGUGUCACCAGGCAUUACUGCUUUCAAUGUAUACAGGGAGUUCUAGAGGCUUGUACUUGCCCUGCCACACAGCAUGAACUCCUGGCCGGCACAGUCCCCCGUGUCUAGCAAGGAGGAAGCCGGGAGCUCUGCGUCCCUGACAGCUCGGCCCUGUGGCCUCUGACACUGAAGGAGCGGCACUGCGGGCACUUGGUCGGGGUGGGGGGUGCUGCUCCUGAUACCAAGACCCGGUCCUCGUCCCUGAGGUCAAACCACAAAACACAAUGACAAGGGUUUGAAGAAAGGAAAGAAUAGUUUAUUGACUUGCUAGCAAAUGAGGGAGUGGCCAGCUCCUGCCUUGAAGAACCACCGUCCUCCUGACACAAGCGGUCAGGGCUUUUCAAGGGGAAAUGGUAGGAGAGGGGCUGGGGUGCCGACACAUGAAGUAGCAGCCUGCAAAGGUCCAAGCAGACAUUCCUCCUCCGAUUCACUAGCUUUGUGUUUUUCUUUUCUGAUGCUCCUCAGUUCCCGGGGACUGGAUGCUUGGGGUUGAACAAAAUCAGCUUUCAGCUUUAACUCUGACCCUCAGACUAGGAAAAUCUGAAGAACAAGAAGAAACUGCCACCCCAUCCACCUCUGCCCAUUAGUGGACAAAGUUUCUGGGGCUGUUUGAGUUCACUUUCUAGUAAAUGUUAGUGUUCAGUUUUGAACAAA
This is a long non-coding RNA of Manis pentadactyla (Chinese pangolin), 1778 nucleotides long. RefSeq lists it as uncharacterized. The transcript is spliced from 2 exons. The record is from RefSeq and is a predicted model, not a curated record. Lineage: Eukaryota; Metazoa; Chordata; Mammalia; Pholidota; Manidae.